UAAGGUUAAGUUAAUAAGGGCGCACGGUGGAUGCCUUGGCACUAGAAGCCGAAGAAGGACGUGACUAACGACGAAAUGCUUUGGGGAGCUGUAAGUAAGCGCUGAUCCAGAGAUGUCCGAAUGGGGGAACCCGGCAUGUAAUGCAUGUCAUCCAUGACUGUUAAGGUCAUGAGAAGGAAGACGCAGUGAACUGAAACAUCUAAGUAGCUGCAGGAAGAGAAAGCAAACGCGAUUGCCUUAGUAGCGGCGAGCGAAACGGCAGGAGGGCAAACCGAGGAGUUUACUCCUCGGGGUUGUAGGACUGCGAAGUGGGACAUAAAGUUAAUAGAAGAAUUACCUGGGAAGGUAAGCCAAAGAGAGUAACAGCCUCGUAUUUAAAAUUGACUUUAGCCCUAGCAGUAUCCUGAGUACGGCGAGACACGCGAAAUCUCGUCGGAAUCUGGGAGGACCAUCUCCCAACCCUAAAUACUCUCUAGUGACCGAUAGUGAACCAGUACCGUGAGGGAAAGGUGAAAAGCACCCCGGGAGGGGAGUGAAAUAGAACCUGAAACCGUGUGCCUACAACAAGUUCGAGCCCGUUAAUGGGUGAGAGCGUGCCUUUUGUAGAAUGAACCGGCGAGUUACGAUAUGAUGCGAGGUUAAGUUGAAGAGACGGAGCCGUAGGGAAACCGAGUCUUAAUAGGGCGUCAUAGUAUCAUGUUGUAGACCCGAAACCAUGUGACCUACCCAUGAGCAGGUUGAAGGUGUGGUAAAACGCACUGGAGGACCGAACCAGGGCACGUUGAAAAGUGCUUGGAUGACUUGUGGGUAGCGGAGAAAUUCCAAACGAACUUGGAGAUAGCUGGUUCUCUCCGAAAUAGCUUUAGGGCUAGCGUCGAUGUUAAGUCUCUUGGAGGUAGAGCACUGUUUGGGUGAGGGGUCCAUCCCGGAUUACCAAUCUCAGAUAAACUCCGAAUGCCAAGUAGAUAUAAUCGGCAGUCAGACUGCGAGUGCUAAGAUCCGUAGUCGAAAGGGAAACAGCCCAGACCACCAGCUAAGGUCCCAAAAUAAUUGUUAAGUGGAAAAGGAUGUGGGGUUGCACAGACAACUAGGAUGUUAGCUUAGAAGCAGCUAUUCAUUCAAAGAGUGCGUAAUAGCUCACUAGUCGAGUGACCCUGCGCCGAAAAUGUACCGGGGCUAAAACAAUUUACCGAAGCUGUGGAUCCCUUAGGGGAUGGUAGGAGAGCGUUCUAUGUGUGAAGAAGGUAUACCGUGAGGAGUGCUGGAACGCAUAGAAGUGAGAAUGCCGGUAUGAGUAGCGCAAGACAGGUGAGAAUCCUGUCCACCGUAAGACUAAGGUUUCCAGGGGAAGGCUCGUCCGCCCUGGGUUAGUCGGGACCUAAGGAGAGACCGAAGGGUGUAUCCGAUGGCCAACAGGUUGAUAUUCCUGUACUAGUAUGUAUAGUGAUGGAGGGACGCAGAAGGCUAACUAAAGCGUGCGACUGGAAGUGCACGUCUAAGCAGUGAGGUGUGAGAUGAGUAAAAUGCUUAUCUCUAUAACAUUGAGCUGUGAUGGGGAGCGAAAAUAAGUAGCGAAGUUAGUGAUGUCACACUGCCAAGAAAAGCUUCUAGCGUUUAAAUACAUACUACCCGUACCGCAAACCGACACAGGUAGUCGAGGCGAGUAGCCUCAGGUGAUCGAGAGAACUCUCGUUAAGGAACUCGGCAAAAUGACCCCGUAACUUCGGGAGAAGGGGUGCUGUCAGCGAUGACAGCCGCAGUGAAUAGGCCCAAGCAACUGUUUAUCAAAAACACAGCUCUCUGCUAAAUCGUAAGAUGAUGUAUAGGGGGUGACGCCUGCCCGGUGCUGGAAGGUUAAGAGGAGUGCUUAGCGUAAGCGAAGGUAUGAAUUGAAGCCCCAGUAAACGGCGGCCGUAACUAUAACGGUCCUAAGGUAGCGAAAUUCCUUGUCGGGUAAGUUCCGACCCGCACGAAAGGCGUAAUGAUUUGGGCACUGUCUCAACGAGAGACUCGGUGAAAUUUUAGUACCUGUGAAGAUGCAGGUUACCCGCGACAGGACGGAAAGACCCCAUGGAGCUUUACUGCAGUUUGAUAUUGAGUAUCUGUACCACAUGUACAGGAUAGGUAGGAGCCAUCGAGAACGGGACGCCAGUUUCGUUUGAGGCGUUGUUGGGAUACUACCCUUGUGUUAUGGCUACUCUAACCCGGAUAGGUGAUCCCUAUCGGAGACAGUGUCUGACGGGCAGUUUGACUGGGGCGGUCGCCUCCUAAAAGG
This 2275-nucleotide ribosomal RNA is filed under the name Streptococcus uberis. RNAcentral's name for it is "partial 23S ribosomal RNA". It matches the Rfam family "Bacterial large subunit ribosomal RNA", at positions 1 to 2297 of the family's 2925-position model. The record is from RNAcentral. Lineage: Bacteria; Bacillati; Bacillota; Bacilli; Lactobacillales; Streptococcaceae.